CAAGUCAGAGCCUCUCAAGUUAGUCCGGCCGCCCGGUCGCCUUAAGCUGCAGAUGUGAAACCGAGAUAAUAGAAAUAGACACGAGACAGCAAAUGAUGCCAAAGUCUAGCAGCACGCUAGUAAGCGUUUCAGUCUCGAAAGCGUGUUUUUUUGUUUUUUGGGGUUUUUCUUCUAACCUUCAGAGAGGGUUCAAGUCAAGUGCUGCGUGGGAGGACGAGGAGCGUUGCACAUCAGAUGUUAGCGGGAAGAACGCGGCCCGACGGGCCGGUCGAGUUCAACGUGUGAUACUUUUGUAUACUUGGGACCCGUGCAUGGGGAAACAGGGCGGGUUCAAACUGGGGUACACUCUCAACAAACUGGAGCUCCUGUUGUUGCAGACGUAAGUCUCUUAUCUUGGUGCAGAAGAUUUGACUGUGGGAAUUUUCUGAAGUCCAAACCUAAUCACUAUUCCAAUGCAUCACUUCUGUGGGCUCUCACUGCAGCUUUGGGAGGAAGACUGUUACGACCUGGGAGGACAAAUGGCUACUCUAGCAUCACAAAAGGCUCUGAAACACCUUUCAUUAUCCAAAGCACACACGGAGUGCAUGCAUGCUGAUGAGUGGCAGCUCCAUUAGAAUCAUAAAAGCUUGUUUAAUUUCACAGACUGACAAGAGCUGAGCUGGGCUUGCUGCCCUAGCAGGGAAAGCUUAUUAAAUGACCUGCCAGUCACAGUAAUUACAGCACAGACUGUUAUCACCAUUACACCACGAUUCAUCUUUGACUGUGUCUGUCCAUGUGUUGAAGAGGCAAACAGGUGUAAAUGAGCAUGUGUCUGUGUGUAUGCAAGUGCAUGCAUGCAUGCAAGUUUAUUCUUGUGCAUUCGUGUGCCCCAGGUUAACUACGUGUGUCUGUGAUUUUGUAACAUGUUGCUAUAUAUUUGAAUGUUUAUACAGCGAGGUACUGCAAGAGGAGGAGUGUUUCUCCACGCCGGUCACAUGAGGACAACACAUUCCUGCUGGCUCACUCACACUGCAGUGACAAGACACUUAGCUGCAC
This is a long non-coding RNA of Lampris incognitus (smalleye Pacific opah), 1035 nucleotides long. RefSeq lists it as uncharacterized. The record is from RefSeq and is a predicted model, not a curated record. Lineage: Eukaryota; Metazoa; Chordata; Actinopteri; Lampriformes; Lampridae. The transcript has 4 exons.